RNAcentral lists this ribosomal RNA (497 nucleotides) under uncultured bacterium. RNAcentral describes it as "partial 16S ribosomal RNA". It matches the Rfam family "Bacterial small subunit ribosomal RNA", at positions 28 to 507 of the family's 1533-position model. The record is from RNAcentral.
GAUGAACGCUGGCGGCGUGCCUAAUACAUGCAAGUCGAGCGAACGGACGAGAAGCUUGCUUCUCUGAUGUUAGCGGCGGACGGGUGAGUAACACGUGGAUAACCUACCUAUAAGACUGGGAUAACUUCGGGAAACCGGAGCUAAUACCGGAUAAUAUUUUGAACCGCAUGGUUCAAAAGUGAAAGACGGUCUUGCUGUCACUUAUAGAUGGAUCCGCGCUGCAUUAGCUAGUUGGUAAGGUAACGGCUUACCAAGGCAACGAUGCAUAGCCGACCUGAGAGGGUGAUAGGCCACACGGGAACUGAGACACGCUCCAGACUCCUACGGGAGGCAGCAGUAGGGAAUCUUCCGCAAUGGGCGAAAGCCUGACGGAGCAACGCCGCGUGAGUGAUGAAGGUCUUCGGAUCGUAAAACUCUGUUAUUAGGGAAGAACAUAUGUGUAAGUAACUGUGCACAUCUUGACGGUACCUAAUCAGAAAGCCACGGCUAACUACGUG